Long non-coding RNA from Plectropomus leopardus (leopard coralgrouper), 873 nucleotides. RefSeq lists it as uncharacterized. The record is from RefSeq and is a predicted model, not a curated record. Lineage: Eukaryota; Metazoa; Chordata; Actinopteri; Perciformes; Serranidae.
AUAAUCAGGCUGCAUCACAUCUGCUGUCUGUCUCUCAUGCUGCUUAGGCCUGCAUACUGAGCUAUGGGUCUCUGGAGCCCUGGGAGAGGAGGAUAAAGAAGACUUGAACUUAAAGAGCUGCUGGUGGUGCACAGUCGUCUAGUCAUUAUCCCUGUGAAUAUUUGGAUCUAUUUGUUUUGGGACCAAACAGGAUUAAGGUGGAAAUUGAUUUGACUCUUCUGAGAGUUUUGAAAAAUGGAGCCCACCUUGCCAACGGAGCUGAGGAAUGACAGAAAAAUGAGAAACAGCAGAGAGGUGGACGGUCCUGUUAGCGUGCCUUCUGAGGCUACCAGGUGUAAAGUGGACCUUGAACAUAUGCUCGGCAUUGCGGGCAUUGUGGGUGCUGUUCUCAACCUGCUGGUCGUGGUGUUUGUGUACAUCUACACACCUGUCUGACAUGCCUUCACCCAGUUCAUAUGGGUCUAUUUAUUGUGAAACUGUUGGAUGGGAUGGGCAGGUGUAUGAAUGGGACAUCACCUAAUCGAUGGAUGGAUGGAUGGACUGAAGGACAACCAAAGGAAAAAGACAGGAUGCUUGAACUCAGGAAUGUGUUUUAGUACUAAGAAAAGGCCUAUCAUAUCAAUAGCAUUCUUUAAUAUUGUUAGUGUUGAGUAUAUGAAAGACAUUUGUGUUUGUAACUGUGAUUAGAUAACUUCAAAGUCCUUUUCUCUGACGGAAGAUGUUUGACCAACACUGGGUAAAUCAUAUUUUUUCACUACACAUUUUUGUGAAUUAUGUUUUCGAUACAUACGUGGUUUGAUUUAUGUAUUUUUCUGUUUGUUCAAUGUUAUUGUUUUUAAAAUAAAUUUAUAACUUAUACAUCUGAAGCAAAGA